UAGAAAUUAUUAUGUUCAAUCAUUUCUCCUAUCAAUAAUGUAUGCCAGUAUUCAAGUUGAUUUUAUUUUUUGAUUGUCAUUUUUAUUUUAUACAAUUUAAAUAAGCAUUAAUUUAAAUUGCUGAGUGCACACACAUACAUAUGCAUAUAUGUGUGCACAAAUGUGUGUGUGUGUGUGUGUGUGUGCACAUGCUUGUGUGUGUGACUAUGGAGUGAUAUGGUGAUGGUAUUUAUAUACUGUUACUAGCACUGUGCAGUUUCUACAGCCAAGAUCCUUAACAUUCAAUUGGCCCAGGUCUCCAAGCUUUUGAUAGGUGCCACAAAACAAGAAUUUAUUGCUAUGAGUGUUAACUACAGGUGAAAAAUAAUGACUGUUUUGUGAGCAUGCAAUGUCCAGUUCAAAUCUUGCCCUGGACAUAGUUUGGUGAGUGAUCAAUUCCAUGCAGCUGACAUGCCCCUGAUAUAUGUAGUAUAUAAACAAAGUCUUCUGUGGGAUUUAUUGGACUUGGCAUGUGUGUGUGUGUGUGAGAGAGAGAGAGAGAGAGAGAGAAAGAAAGAAAAGUUUCAGGCUAUCUUCACAUUUAUACUUCCUCAACUGCAUUAUUAAUUAUAUUGUUAAUCAUUUUAAACUUGCAUAUAUGUAUAUAUGUAGCAUGUGCUGGGAUCCCAGUUAUACAUAAAUAUAUAUAGCUGGGAUCUCAACAGGUGCUGUUACUCUGAGUCAGAGCUGGCCUGAGAACAAUACUGGCCAAGAGGUGCAGUUUAUAGUCAUACCCAUUUGCCAGCAUGCAAGUAUGUUGUUUCAAUUCUAUGCCAUGGUAAUAUAUAUAUAAAGAUCACUAGCAGAUAACACAUUGUUUCAAAAAUGUCUGUAUGUAACUCAAACUCUGUAAAUAUUUUGAUUUUUGGCAAAUGCAUUUGGGAGAAAUAAGUUUAAAUUUGUUAAGAAUGAAUCAGAGAUUUUGGGAGAAGAGGGAAAUAGAAAAUUGGAAUGUUUUGUCCUUCUUAACUGUGAAUUGAAAUUUUGACUCUCUGAGAGAAAAACAAUAGUAGCAACUCUCUCUCUCUCUCUCUCUCUUUCUCCCCUCUCUCUCUUUAUCUCUUCCUCCCCUCUUGCUUUAUAUACAUAUAUAUGUAUGUGUAUAUAUAUAUAUAUGUAUGUAUGUAUGUAUGUGUAUAUAUAUGUGUAUGUUUUUCAAAUAUACACUUGUUUAGUGUUGGCAAACUUUUGAUAAAUAUUUAUAAGUUAAAUUCUGCCUGCUAGAAGUUUUAUUUCCCAGUUGUUGAUUUUAUGUUAAUACACAAAAAUAUUUUUGAGUAAUUGUUUGUACACAGAAUGAAAACGUCCAUGUCAAAUAGAGCUAACUUCAGAUCCAUGAAAUCUGCUGCUUCAAAAUAUUUUAUAAAUAUUUUAUUUUUCCUAAUUCUCUGAGCUGUACAAAUCUUGAAGAGAUCUGUACAGUCACAACCUUUUGAACUUCUUUAAACUGUUUUGCAUAGUGUUCGAAAUGUUUAUAAAUAGUUUCUUCAAAAACUUUCUUUGCCCUUGCAAAGCACUUAAAACUUUUAUUUUCUGAUUCACUGUGUAAUAUGUUGAGUUUACUCUCAAAACUCUUAAUCAAGCCAAACAGCACAUCAACAGAUUUCCUAAAACUUGGAAGUUUAAUUUUAAAUUCAUUCAAAUGCAGUAAAUAAAUCCAUGAAAAAACUAAGUUUACUGAGUCAAGCAAAAUAAUUUAACUUAGGAAAAUCAUGCUCCAUGUUUUUGUUUAAAUAACAAUAGUCUUAUUUCACUUAAACAUUCAACAAAUCAUUUAAGUAUUUGACUAUGCCUGAACUAUCAUGCACAUUAUUAAACUGAAUCAAUUUCAUUUAAAGGUAAAUUAUAUUGUUGUUUAUGUAAAAUCCUGGUCGCUGUCAAAUUGGCUAUUUUUGUCACACCUCAUCAAUCACAUUAUGAAAAUCUUUAAAGCUUACUUCCUGCACACAGUGCUUCCAGAGGUAUAAUACACUGAAAAUAAACAAGGAAAUGACCAACAAAUUUUGUAAAUUGCCCUACAAUACCAGUUUUCAGCUUACUGUAGUAGGGAUAUCAGUUGUAAACAAAACUAUUUGUUUUUCAUGAAACAUAUUAACAACUAUGAUGCAAACUAUUACUUAAUCAAGUCUUAAUGAAUAGGAGAAAAUAUUGUACAAUAUUAGCAAGUCAAGUUGAUAUCAAUGGUCUUAUCAGGUCUCAAGACAAAUAAAAAAUAACUGUAGGUAUUUAAUUAUUUUUGAACUUGAUUUUCUAUGUUAACACUUGUUUUCAUAAAUUUGUUUUUAACAUCAUUUCUAAAUCACAUACUUAUAAUGGUGUUCUUAUUAUUAUGAAAGCCAUUAGAUAAAAAUGGGGCAUUUUUAACAGAAGCCUCAUUAAAAAUUGCCACCAUCACUUAGUGAUUUUCCAUUAUCAACAAUAAUAUAUGAAAUAUUAAAACUUGCAGCUUGUAAAUGAUAAAUUCUUGUUGGGAACUUAAAUAAAUUCUGUUGUUUCCACUUUAGCUGUUGGGAUAUGUAUGCUUUGUGGUCUUCAAUAGUUUUUUUUUUCUUAGGAGUAACUGGCGCUGGUUGUAAAAGUGCUUUUUACAUUCCUAGUUCUAUUCACAGCAGCCUCAUCACACAAUAUACAAAGAAGUUUAUCAAUCUUAUCUAGCUCAUAAUUUGUUCUGCCCACUAAUCUGGAAAUUUCGUCCACUUCACUUUUGUGAUAAUUUAAUUUUUUUAGUAUUUAUUUUAUUAAUUGUUCAUUUAGAAAAUAAGAAUGAAAGAAUUGAAGGAAAAGAAGAGCUAAAGUCAUACACUUGUUAUAUUGUGUUAGCAGCCUACGAUGGGUUGCAACUUUUCAAUUUAUGGGUUGUAAUUUAAGUAUAGUGUUAUUAGAUAUCUACCCACAUCCCAUCUAAUGUGAAUUUUUUUUAAGGACUGCUAUUUUAAACUUUUAAAACUCUAUGUAUAAUUUAGUGAACUUUUUAUAACAUAUAUUAUUAGGGAAACUGGUUCUCUAAAAACUUGCUGCAUGUCUCUGCUGAUAUGCAUGUCAUAGGUUCACUGUCUUUAUCUAGUUCUAUAAUAAUAUUUAUAUAAACAUUUGUUAAAUUCUACCUAUUAAAAAAGGUUGUUUUUUUUCAUAAUUGUUUAUGUUAGCAUAGAUAGUAAGAUUUUAGUUAUUCAUCUUUUUUAAUUUAUUGAUUGGUUGAUUUUGGCUGCAGUAAUUGUUUUUAUAUAGAAAGCAGAUCUCCAAUUCCAUGGGAUAACAGACAACCUGCCUCGUGAUAGGUGGUUUAUGCUUUGUAACCUGCACAGUAUUGUACAGGUUACAAAACCUGUACAAUUUCUCUGUAAACUCGUACCCAAGAGAUAGCAACAACUUGCUGCAGUAAUUAGCAACAGUAAUAGCCAGGAAUUUGUUAGUUUGCAAUGCAGAGUUCUAGACUUGCUUAUAUAGUAAAUAAAAUCUUAAUUCUGAAUAAACUAGUAAUAAUUUGUGUUGGUGGCAAUUAUUUUGGUUGGAUAAAUAAGUAUUGUGAGUGGAGACUAUGACAAAAAUACAUAUUUAAGUUGUACUUCUUCCUGAAUAUAAUUUUAUGUGGCUAGUAUAUCAUAAGACUACUGUAAAAAUUAAUUAGCAAAUAGAAAUUAUUUUAAUUUGAUUUUGCAACUUCCAGUCUUCCAAAAAAUACAUAUAAUUAUUUUUCAGUAACUAUUUUCAUUAACGUCAGCUGUUGGGGAAUCAUAAACAGUU
Molecule: long non-coding RNA, 3783 nt
Organism: Octopus sinensis (East Asian common octopus)
Lineage: Eukaryota; Metazoa; Mollusca; Cephalopoda; Octopoda; Octopodidae
Exons: 2
Source: RefSeq, a predicted model, not a curated record